This 2789-nucleotide long non-coding RNA is filed under the name Homo sapiens (human). RNAcentral describes it as "small nucleolar RNA host gene 4, transcript variant 11 (SNHG4)". Lineage: Eukaryota; Metazoa; Chordata; Mammalia; Primates; Hominidae. The record is from RNAcentral.
CCCUUUCCCCUCCGGCCUCUGCCGGUGCUGCUGCGCCCUGCGGAGCUCCGAACACGUGCGCGGAGUCCCAUAGAGCCUGACUCCGAGAGCCUCGAUCUCCCAGGGCCAGAGGCAGGGACUUUGGAAGGUUUGUGAGGAACAAAUGUCCGGUGGAACUGAGUCAGCCCCUUUAACCCGAGCCUUGAAAGGGGCAGGCUAUUUUUAGAUCUGUUUUUAGACCCAGCGAACAAUGAACCCUCUCUACUCAUUUUCCUGUUCCUCUAAAUUAUUUGGAGGAAGUCAGGAGUGAAAUUUGGGGAUGGCUGGAAAAAGAGAGGCUGGCUGUGGCAGAUGCAACUGCAGGAUGACUUGAAAGUAGGGCAUCCUUCACCCAUCUGAAGGGAGGAAAUAGUGGCAGGUGACAGUCUGCAUGUGCAGUUUUCAGAUGCCUUCACCUGAAUGACAUCUACCUCCAUCAGGACCCCAGAUGUCUGACAGCCCUGUGUGACACCAAGAUAAGUAACAAUCUGGCUGCUGACUACCCUAUUGGACAACUCCAAUAUUAGAGAACAUUUCCACCAAUUCAGAAAGUUUAUUAUGCACUGCUGUUCUAGAGCAGGGAUCAGCAAACUUGCUGUAAAGAGCCAGGAUCCCGUUGAAGAUACCACAUUACACUUAGGCUCCUGUUGGCCAUGACAGCUUCUUAGACUUGUUUUUAAUGACCUUGACAGUUUUGUUUUUUUGUUUGUUUGUUUUUGAGACGGAGUCUCUGUCAUCCAGGCUGGAGUGCAAUGUAAUGGCUCAAUCUCAGCUCACUGCAACCUCUGCCUCCCGGGUUCAAGUGAUUCUCCUGCCUCAGCCUCCCCAGUAGCUGGGAUUACAGGCAUGAGCCACCGUGCCCGGCUGCCUCCUAAAUUCUCAAAACAUUCCAUUUUUAUUCUGUGGUCUUACUUUAUUCUGUCAUGUAGAGAAUAGUGGUUGAGCCUGUUGUCUUUUGAGAGUGGAUGCUGUAGUCCUUACAUGGCUGACUUUCAGCCCGUAAGCUUAUAGUAGAGGAUGGGGAUUUUGUUAUCAGCUGCUAAAAGGGAGAAGCCAAGCCCAGAACUAAGGGUUCUGAUGAGUUGAAGGAGAGGGAAGAUGCCCCUCAAGGCAAAGAGCCUCUGAGUUAGAAUCUGUGCUUCACCAGAGUGACAAUGGUAGAACUUCUCCUUCUCAGUAUUAAUUCUCCUGGAGAGAACUCUAGGGUUGUCUAAACCUGUUCAACUAGGCUGACUACCCCAGCAAGUGAUGGGUUGGACAUAAGGCAAAGAACAGGAGGGGUGAAAGGGGGCAGAACAGACAAGUUCUGUCCCAGCCUCUGCUACCUCUAACCCCAUGGCAUUCUAUCCUUUUCUACACUGGGCUUCCAUUUCUUACCCCAACAAUGAUCUGUUCUUCCAGGUGCCGUCAUUUAAUUUCCCAGACACUUGACCUCCUUCUGAUUUGUGUACUCCCUCCAAGGCUGAGUUGCAGUGAGUGACAAUAAUCUGUGCUAAUUACUUAUCUUGCCAGAAGACUCAAAGGGUUUAUGGCUUUUACUAACUGAACUCUAUGCUAGAUGUUAGGGAUAAAUGGUUAACAGGACACAGUUCUUGCUUAUCUUGCUAUGGUCUGUCAAGCCUUAUACAAUCUAGCCUUAUCUCUCUCACCGUCUUAUCUUUAUCACCCGUAGAUUCCCUUGUUGGCCACUGGUUUCUUUCAGUCCUUAAUUAGCCUUUUGUCACUACCUGUCUACACAUGCUGUUUUUCCCUUCUCAUUCCAUCUUGACAUUGUCUAUUUUGAGAUCUCAGCUCAGUUGCAGAGAAGCUGCCUUCCCCAUCUGGCAACCCAUUAUAUGUGUCAUAGUACCAUGUUGUACCAUAGAGCUAGACACAGGUGCCAUGUUGUGUCUUGAAAUGUAUUCACCAGCUUCCAAAGGUUUACCUCAAUCCCCUUUACUCAAGAAGCCUCAGUUCUACUGACAGUUGGUAAUAAUAACCUCUCUGUCAUAAUGUACCCAAAAUAGAGUAAGAAUAUCAUGCUUUUCAGUAAUACUCCAGUGAAUGAGGCUAAGAGUACCAUUUUUGUUCUUAUAAAAGAAUUUUUUUGGACAUGAAUACAAAGAUGUCAGGUUACCAAAUCAUUUGCUAGUAGAUCCUAACAAUAUCACCUAUAGGAAACUGAACGUAGCCUUUAAACAUUAAGUGAUGAUAAUGGAUUUGGCCGGGCGCGGUUGCCUAUAAUCCCAACACUGAGAGGCUGAGGUGGGUGGAUCACUUGAGGCCAGGACAGGACCAGCAUGGCCAACAUGGUGAAACCCCGUCUCUACAAAAGAAAAAAAUACAAAAAUUAGCUGGGUGUUGUGGUGUAUGCCUGUAAUCCCAACUAUUUGGGUGGCUGAGGCACGAGAAUCGCUUGAACUUGGAAGGCAGAGGUUGCAGUGAGCUGAGAUCGUGCCACUGCACUCCAGCCUGGGUGACAGACUGAGACAGUCUCAAAAAAAAAAAAAGAAAAUAAUGGAUUUGCAGAGACUUGCUAUUUAGAUUUCAGACAUCUGUUAACUAAAACACAUGUGUAGGCUUUUGUUACUUAUUUCAGUAAUCUGUAAAUAUCUUUAUAUUUGAGAAAAUUUGUGAGACAUCUUUGUGUAAAUUAUAACUUGAAGAACCUCUCUUACAAGCAGGCAUAUUGGUAAGUAGCUGCGAGGAUAUAACUUAUAACCAGAUUGAAGUGUAUAAUUAUAAUAUGUUAUUAUUCUGGGGUUCUAUAAAAAAUAAAAUCUUUGAAUCUA